This 1431-nucleotide ribosomal RNA is filed under the name bacterium ASP45. RNAcentral's name for it is "bacterial SSU rRNA". It matches the Rfam family "Bacterial small subunit ribosomal RNA". The record is from RNAcentral.
GGGUUCGCUGCUAUACAUGCAUGUCGCGCGGAUGACGAGAGCUUGCUCUCCGCUUUUAACAGGCGGACGGGUGAGUAACACGUGGGCAACCUGCCCUACAGAUGGCGAUAACUCCGGGAAACCGGGGCUAAUACCGAAUAAUCAGUUUGUCCGCAUGGACAAACUCUGAAAGACGGUUUCGGCUGUCACUGUAGGAUGGGCCCGCGGCGCAUUAGCUAGUUGGUGGGGUAAUGGCCUACCAAGGCAACGAUGCGUAGCCGACCUGAGAGGGGUUCGGCCACACUGGGACUGAGACACGGCCCAGACUAAUACGGGAGGCAGCAGUAGGGAAUCUUCCACAAUGGACGAAAGUCUGAUGGAGCAAUGCCGCGUGAGCGAAGAAGGUUUUCGGAUCGUAAAGCUCUGUUGUAAGGGAAGAACACGUACGGGAGUAACUGCCCGUGCCAUGACGGUACCUUAUUAGAAAGCCACGGCUAACUACGUGCCAGCAGCCGCGGUAAUACGUAGGUGGCAAGCGUUGUCCGGAAUUAUUGGGCGUAAAGCGCGCGCAGGCGGUUCUUUAAGUCUGAUGUGAAAGCCCACGGCUCAACCGUGGAGGGUCAUUGGAAACUGGAGAACUUGAGUACAGAAGAGGAAAGCGGAAUUCCACGUGUAGCGGUGAAAUGCGUAGAGAUGUGGAGGAACACCAGUGGCGAAAGCGGCUUUCUGGUCUGUAACUGACGCUGAGGCGCGAAAGCGUGGGGAGCAAACAGGAUUAGAUACCCUGGUAGUCCACGCCGUAAACGAUGAGUGCUAAGUGUUAGGGGUUUCCGCCCCUUAGUGCUGCAGCUAACGCAUUAAGCACUCCGCCUGGGGAGUACGGCCGCAAGGCUGAAACUCAAAGGAAUUGACGGGGACCCGCACAAGCGGUGGAGCAUGGUGGUUUAAUUCGAAGCAACGCGAAGACUUACAGGUCUGACAUCCCACUGACGGUGUAGAGAUACGCUUUCCCUCGGGGACAGUGUGACAGUGUGCAUGAUGUCGUCAGCUCGUGUCGUGAGAUGUGGUAGUUCCCGCACCGAGCGCAUCAUUGAAUCUAGUUGCAAGCAAUCAGUGGGCACUCUAGUGACUGCCGUGAUAACGAAGAAGGUGGGAUGACGUCAAUCCAUGCCUAGACUGGCUACACUGUCUCAAUGUAUGGAUACAGAGGUUGGCACAGAGGGUUGCCAACCCGCGAGGGGGAGCCAAUCCCAUAAAAUCAUUCCCAGUUCGGAUUGGAGGGUGCAACUCGCCUCCAUGAAGCCGGAAUCGCUAGUAAUCGUGGAUCAGCAUGCCACGGUGAAUACGUUCCCGGGUUUUGUACACACCGCCCGUCACACCACGAGAGUUUGUAACACCCGAAGUCGGUGGGGUAACCCUUACGGGAGCCAGCCGCCGAAGGGGGACGAGGGG